AACGCACCUUGCGCUCCUUGGUAUUCCGAGGAGCAUAUCUGUUUGAGUGUCAUGAACUCUUCAACCCACCAUUUUUUCAAUGCCUUGCGCGGCGAACAAUGAACGUGGUGCUUGGAUUCUUGAGCGUCUGCCGGCUUGUCCAAAGCCUUGGCUCGCUCGUAAUACAUGAGCAUCUCUGAUCCUAGCCUUUGGAUUGACUCAGUGUAAUAGACUAUUUCGCUGAGGAACAGCCCGUUCGGGCGGCCAAGCUUGGUGAACAUGGGAAGCUUCUAAUCUCAUGCCCUUCUCUUGAAGAGCUAUUUUUGAUUUUAGACCUCAAAUCAGAUAGGACUACCCGCUGAACUUAA
This 347-nucleotide ribosomal RNA is filed under the name uncultured fungus. RNAcentral describes it as "eukaryotic LSU rRNA". The stretch from base 1 to 52 matches the Rfam family "5.8S ribosomal RNA", at positions 103 to 154 of the family's 154-position model. The record is from RNAcentral. Lineage: Eukaryota; Fungi.